This 818-nucleotide ribosomal RNA is filed under the name uncultured bacterium. RNAcentral's name for it is "bacterial SSU rRNA". It matches the Rfam family "Bacterial small subunit ribosomal RNA", at positions 57 to 895 of the family's 1533-position model. The record is from RNAcentral.
GCAGUCGACGGAAGGCCCUUCGGGGUCUCGAGUGGCNNNCGGGUGAGUAACACGUGGGUGAUCUGCCCUGCACUUUGGGAUAAGCCUGGGAAACUGGGUCUAAUACCGAAUAGGACCACGCGCUUCAUGGUGUGUGGUGGAAAGCUUUUGCGGUGUGGGAUGGGCCCGCGGCCUAUCAGCUUGUUGGUGGGGUAAUGGCCUACCAAGGCGACGACGGGUAGCCGGCCUGAGAGGGUGACCGGCCACACUGGGACUGAGAUACGGCCCAGACUCCUACGGGAGGCAGCAGUGGGGAAUAUUGCACAAUGGGCGCAAGCCUGAUGCAGCGACGCCGCGUGAGGGAUGACGGCCUUCGGGUUGUAAACCUCUUUCAAUAGGGACGAAGCGCAAGUGACGGUACCUAUAGAAGAAGCACCGGCCAACUACGUGCCAGCAGCCGCGGUAAUACGUAGGGUGCGAGCGUUGUCCGGAAUUACUGGGCGUAAAGAGCUCGUAGGUGGUUUGUCGCGUUGUUCGUGAGAACUCACAGCUUAACUGUGGGCGUGCGGGCGAUACGGGCAGACUAGAGUACUGCAGGGGAGACUGGAAUUCCUGGUGUAGCGGUGGAAUGCGCAGAUAUCAGGAGGGACACCGGUGGCGAAGGCGGGUCUCUGGGCAGUAACUGACGCUGAGGAGCGAAAGCGUGGGGAGCGAACAGGAUUAGAUACCCUGGUAGUCCACGCCGUANACGGUGGGUANNNGGUGUGGGUUCCUUCCUUGGGAUCCGUGCCGUAGCUAACGCAUUAAGUACCCCGCCUGGGGAGUACGGCCGCAAGGCU